Molecule: long non-coding RNA, 880 nt
Organism: Bos taurus (domestic cattle)
Lineage: Eukaryota; Metazoa; Chordata; Mammalia; Artiodactyla; Bovidae
Source: Ensembl
CAAAACACAAAACAUCUCCCUGUGCACGAACUCCUCACAUUCAGGUACACAUACAAACACAUCCUUCCACGUCCUCUUCCAUACCCCUUCCCCUCAGCCCCCCUACUCAUGAUCUGCGGUACCCUCAGUCCCAAAUCAUAAUCAGCGCCCGCGCAGCCCGGGUUGGACACAAACGCGCGCACGCGCGCACUCCCCUCCCCGCGCCAGCUGGGGAGGCUUCGGGCGGGCGCCGGCUUCGGAUUCCAGGUGUAGUGGCGGUUCCGCGCUCCGCGUUUUCCAGUCCGCCGCGGUGUUGGAGGCGAGGCGAGGAAGGGAGCUGGAAUAACAAAGGGCCGGCGAGAUCAUUCCUUCCACCACCGGAGGGAGAAGAGGCAAAAUGAAUUUGCCAGCCCUGAAUUCAUUCUCAAGGCUACGCUAUUCUGACAGCCAGCAAACUCAGCCUGGAUUCCUGAGAGCUCAGAGGACUGCAGCUCAGGGGAGUGACUGAAGAGGACACAGGAGCCAAGCCCAGCACACAAAGAGGGUCCAGCUCUCUAUAGCAUGGAGCCAGCGGUAAUCUCAGCUCUUCCCAGCUGGGCAAGCAUGACAUUUGAUGGCAGCAACUCUAAGAAAUCUCACCUCAGCCUUGAGUCUACCCUAGCCUCCUGAGGACCCUGGGCUCCAGUUCUUGAGACUCAGACACUUGCUGUCCCUAUUCCAAUUUUGAGAAAUAAUAAGGCAUGUUGGAUCCAUAUGGGCUCUUGGAAGAUGCUGUGACUUAGUAUGUGCCUACUGUGUGCUGGGUAGCGUGCUGAGGGCCUCUGAGGCAUGAGUUCAUUGAAUUCUCACAUUGCCUUGAGUUAGGUGCUAUUAAACUGCACUGUGAGGGACUUGUCCGAAG